AACGAACGCUGGCGGCAGGCCUAACACAUGCAAGUCGAACGCUCUAGCAAUAGAGAGUGGCAGACGGGUGGGUAACGCGUGGGAACCUUCCCUAUGGUGUGGAAUAACUCGCCGAAAGGCGAGCUAAUACCGCAUAAGCCCGCAAGGGGAAGAUUUAUCGCCAUAGGAUGGGCCCGCGUAGGAUUAGCUAGUUGGUGAGGUAACGGCUCACCAAGGCGACGAUCCUUAGCGGUUUGAGAGAAUGACCAGCCACACUGGGACUGAGACACGGCCCAGACUCCUACGGGAGGCAGCAGGUGGGGAAUCUUGGACAAUGGGCGCAAGCCUGAUCCAGCCAUGCCGCGUGAGUGACGAAGGCCUUAGGGUUGUAAAGCUCUUUUGGCGGGGACGAUAAUGACGGUACCCGCAGAAUAACGCCCCGGCUAACUUCGUGCCA
This 436-nucleotide ribosomal RNA is filed under the name uncultured bacterium. RNAcentral describes it as "bacterial SSU rRNA". It matches the Rfam family "Bacterial small subunit ribosomal RNA", at positions 29 to 510 of the family's 1533-position model. The record is from RNAcentral.